Molecule: long non-coding RNA, 546 nt
Organism: Pan troglodytes (chimpanzee)
Lineage: Eukaryota; Metazoa; Chordata; Mammalia; Primates; Hominidae
Exons: 3
Source: RefSeq, a predicted model, not a curated record
UGGAUUGAUUAACGGGCUAAUGGAUUAAUGGGUUAUCAUGGGAGUUGGUUAGUUAUCACAAGGGAGGGUCUGUUAUAAAAGCCAGUUCAGCUCUCUCUUGUGGCCCCCUCUCUCUCUGUGAUGUCUUCUGCCAUCUUGUGAUGCAGCAAGAAGGCCCUCACCAGAUGCCAGUGCCAUGCUCUUAAGACUUCCCAUCCUCCAGAACUGUGUCAAAAUUCACUCUUCACAAAUCCCUGAAGCUCUGGAAUCCUGCAGCUGGAAAUGCGGCACCCAAAGACAUGGCAUGCAGAGUGGAAAUAGUCCCGCGUGAGGUCGGGAGUCCACAGUGUCGGGAGAAUUGGGUUCUCAUGUUGGCAUUACUGCAAAUUUGUUAUGGGCUUAGAGGAAGUUACGACUGUCACCUGCUGGACACUUCACUGACAUGCAGAAACCCAGGACAAGAGGAACGCAUUCUACCGUCAAGGGGGCCACAGAUUACCCAACCUGUAUUUCUCUCUGGUAUCUGUUCACUUAUUUUAAAAUAAAAAUAUUUUUGUACUGCUUGAA